GACGAACGCUGGCGGCGUGGAUUAGGCAUGCAAGUCGGACGGUAGGGCUUUAUCGUAAGAUAGAGUUUGAGAGUGGCGAACGGGUGAGUAACACGUAGGAAUCUACCCUUAAGACGGGGACAACCCAGGGAAACUUGGGCUAAUACCGGAUGAGAGUGCGAGAGAUUGCAUUUAAAAGGAUGGCGAAAGUUGUCGCUUAGGGAUGAGCCUGCGGUCUAUUAGUUAGUUGGUGAGGUAAGAGCUCACCAAGGCGAUGAUAGGUAGGCGGCCUUAACGGGUGGUCGCCCACACUGGGAUUGAGAUACGGCCCAGACUCCUACGGGAGGCAGCAGUCGAGAAUAGUCUACAAUGGUCGGAAGACUGAUAGUGCGACGCCGCGUGAACGAUGAAUCCCUUCGGGGUGUAAAGUUCUUUUAUAUGUGAGCAGUGCUUCUUAUAUUAACAGUAUGGGGAGAGAGAUAUUAGCAUAUGAAUAAGCAACGGCUAACUCCGUGCC
This 496-nucleotide ribosomal RNA is filed under the name uncultured bacterium. Its description in RNAcentral is "bacterial SSU rRNA". It matches the Rfam family "Bacterial small subunit ribosomal RNA", at positions 28 to 509 of the family's 1533-position model. The record is from RNAcentral.